This 499-nucleotide ribosomal RNA is filed under the name uncultured bacterium. RNAcentral's name for it is "partial 16S ribosomal RNA". It matches the Rfam family "Bacterial small subunit ribosomal RNA", at positions 28 to 507 of the family's 1533-position model. The record is from RNAcentral.
GAUGAACGCUGGCGGCGUGCCUAAUACAUGCAAGUCGAGCGAACAGACGAGAGUGCUUGCACUCUCUGACGUUAGCGGCGGACGGGUGAGUAACACGUGGGUAACCUGCCUAUAAGACUGGGAUAACUUCGGGAAACCGGAGCUAAUACCGGAUAAUAUUUAGCUUCGCAUGAAGCAAUAGUGAAAGACGGUUCUGCUGUCACUUAUAGAUGGACCCGCGGUGUAUUAGCUAGUUGGUGAGGUAACGGCUCACCAAGGCAACGAUACAUAGCCGACCUGAGAGGGUGAUCGGCCACACUGGGACUGAGACACGGCCCAGACUCCUACGGGAGGCAGCAGUAGGGAAUCUUCCGCAAUGGACGAAAGUCUGACGGAGCAAUGCCGCGUGAGUGAAGAAGGUUUUCGGAUCGUAAAACUCUGUUGUAAGGGAAGAACAAGUACGUUAGUAACUGAACGUACCUUGACGGUACCUUACCAGAAAGCCACGGCUAACUACGUG